UACGUAGGGUGCAAGCGUUAAUCGGAAUUACUGGGCGUAAAGCGUGCGCAGGCGGUGAUGUAAGACAGUUGUGAAAUCCCCGGGCUUAACCUGGGAACUGCAUUUGUGACUGCAUAGCUAGAGUACGGUAGAGGGGGAUGGAAUUCCGCGUGUAGCAGUGAAAUGCGUAGAUAUGCGGAGGAACACCGAUGGCGAAGGCAAUCCCCUGGACCUGUACUGACGCUCAUGCACGAAAGCGUGGGGAGCAAACAGG
RNAcentral lists this ribosomal RNA (253 nucleotides) under uncultured bacterium. RNAcentral describes it as "partial 16S ribosomal RNA". It matches the Rfam family "Bacterial small subunit ribosomal RNA", at positions 524 to 776 of the family's 1533-position model. The record is from RNAcentral.